This 1222-nucleotide ribosomal RNA is filed under the name Escherichia fergusonii. Its description in RNAcentral is "partial 23S ribosomal RNA". It matches the Rfam family "Bacterial large subunit ribosomal RNA", at positions 323 to 1553 of the family's 2925-position model. Lineage: Bacteria; Pseudomonadati; Pseudomonadota; Gammaproteobacteria; Enterobacterales; Enterobacteriaceae. The record is from RNAcentral.
UGUGUGUUAGUGGAAGCGUCUGGAAAGGCGCGCGAUACAGGGUGACAGCCCCGUACACAAAAAUGCACAUACUGUGAGCUCGAUGAGUAGGGCGGGACACGUGGUAUCCUGUCUGAAUAUGGGGGGACCAUCCUCCAAGGCUAAAUACUCCUGACUGACCGAUAGUGAACCAGUACCGUGAGGGAAAGGCGAAAAGAACCCCGGCGAGGGGAGUGAAAAAGAACCUGAAACCGUGUACGUACAAGCAGUGGGAGCCUCUUUAUGGGGUGACUGCGUACCUUUUGUAUAAUGGGUCAGCGACUUAUAUUCUGUAGCAAGGUUAACCGAAUAGGGGAGCCGAAGGGAAACCGAGUCUUAACUGGGCGUUAAGUUGCAGGGUAUAGACCCGAAACCCGGUGAUCUAGCCAUGGGCAGGUUGAAGGUUGGGUAACACUAACUGGAGGACCGAACCGACUAAUGUUGAAAAAUUAGCGGAUGACUUGUGGCUGGGGGUGAAAGGCCAAUCAAACCGGGAGAUAGCUGGUUCUCCCCGAAAGCUAUUUAGGUAGCGCCUCGUGAAUUCAUCUCCGGGGGUAGAGCACUGUUUCGGCAAGGGGGUCAUCCCGACUUACCAACCCGAUGCAAACUGCGAAUACCGGAGAAUGUUAUCACGGGAGACACACGGCGGGUGCUAACGUCCGUCGUGAAGAGGGAAACAACCCAGACCGCCAGCUAAGGUCCCAAAGUCAUGGUUAAGUGGGAAACGAUGUGGGAAGGCCCAGACAGCCAGGAUGUUGGCUUAGAAGCAGCCAUCAUUUAAAGAAAGCGUAAUAGCUCACUGGUCGAGUCGGCCUGCGCGGAAGAUGUAACGGGGCUAAACCAUGCACCGAAGCUGCGGCAGCGACACUAAGUGUUGUUGGGUAGGGGAGCGUUCUGUAAGCCUGUGAAGGUGUGUUGUGAGGCAUGCUGGAGGUAUCAGAAGUGCGAAUGCUGACAUAAGUAACGAUAAAGCGGGUGAAAAGCCCGCUCGCCGGAAGACCAAGGGUUCCUGUCCAACGUUAAUCGGGGCAGGGUGAGUCGACCCCUAAGGCGAGGCCGAAAGGCGUAGUCGAUGGGAAACAGGUUAAUAUUCCUGUACUUGGUGUUACUGCGAAGGGGGGACGGAGAAGGCUAUGUUGGCCGGGCGACGGUUGUCCCGGUUUAAGCGUGUAGGCUGGUUUUCCAGGCAAAUCCGGAAAAUCAA